This 253-nucleotide ribosomal RNA is filed under the name uncultured bacterium. RNAcentral describes it as "partial 16S ribosomal RNA". It matches the Rfam family "Bacterial small subunit ribosomal RNA", at positions 524 to 776 of the family's 1533-position model. The record is from RNAcentral.
GACGAACCGUGCGAACGUUGUUCGGAAUCACUGGGCUUAAAGGGCGCGUAGGCGGGCCGCAAAGUCAGAGGUGAAAUCCCCCGGCUCAACCGGGGAACGGCCUUUGAUACUGGCGGUCUGGAGUAGGGUAGGGGCAUGCGGAACUGAUGGUGGAGCGGUGAAAUGUGUUGAUAUCAUCAGGAACUCCGGUGGCGAAAGCGGCGUGCUGGACCCUUACUGACGCUGAGGCGCGAAAGCCAGGGGAGCGAACGGG